GGGAAUAUUGCGCAAUGGGCGCAAGCCUGAUGCAGCCAUGACGCGUGUGUGAAGAAGGCCUUCGGGUUGUAAAGCACUUUCAGUGGUGAGGAAGGUGGUGUCGUUAAUAGCGGCCCCAAUUGACGUUAGCCACAGAAGAAGCACCGGCUAACUCCGUGCCAGCAGCCGCGGUAAUACGGAGGGUGCGAGCGUUAAUCGGAAUUACUGGGCGUAAAGCGUACGUAGGCGGCCUGUUAAGCAAGAUGUGAAAGCCCCGGGCUCAACCGGGGAAUGGCAUUUUGAACUGGCAGGCUCGAGUUCUGAAGAGGGUGGUAGAAUUUCCAGUGUAGCGGUGAAAUGCGUAGAUAUUGGAAGGAAUACCGGUGGCGAAGGCGGCCACCUGGUCAGAAACUGACGCUGAGGUACGAAAGCGUGGGGAGCA
RNAcentral lists this ribosomal RNA (421 nucleotides) under uncultured bacterium. RNAcentral describes it as "bacterial SSU rRNA". It matches the Rfam family "Bacterial small subunit ribosomal RNA", at positions 357 to 770 of the family's 1533-position model. The record is from RNAcentral.